Molecule: ribosomal RNA, 1207 nt
Filed under: Bifidobacterium scardovii
Lineage: Bacteria; Bacillati; Actinomycetota; Actinomycetes; Bifidobacteriales; Bifidobacteriaceae
Description: partial 23S ribosomal RNA
Rfam family: Bacterial large subunit ribosomal RNA
Source: RNAcentral
UGACAAGCUACUAAGUGCGAUCGGUGGAUGCCUUGGCACCAAGAGCCGAUGAAGGACGUUGUAACCUGCGAUAAGCCUUGGGGAGUUGGUAAACGAGCUGUGAUCCGGGGAUGUCCGAAUGGGGAAACCUUGAAUGUCCGGAGUCAUGUCCGGUGACCCUGCCCUGAAUGUAUAGGGGUGUGGGAGGUAACGCGGGGAAGUGAAACAUCUCAGUACCCGUAGGAAGAGAAAACAAUUGUGAUUCCGUGAGUAGUGGCGAGCGAAAGCGGAUGUGGCCAAACCGUGUGUGUGUUCAAGCCGGCAGGCGUUGCAUGUGCGGGGUUGUGGGGGCCUGUGUGAUCCUGCUGCCGUGGGAUCGGCUUGCAUGUGGUGUGAAGUUGAAUCGUCUGGGAAGGCGGACCGUAGUGGGUGAGAGUCCCGUAGACGUGAGUGUCAUGUGUGGUUUCAGGUUGCCCCAAGUAGCGCGGUACUCGUGGAAUGUCGCGUGAAUCUGGCGGGACCACCCGUUAAGCCUAAAUACUUCUUGGUGACCGAUAGUGUAUCAGUACCGUGAGGGAAUGGUGAAAAGUACCCCGGGAGGGGAGUGAAAUAGUACCUGAAACCGGUCGCAUACAAGCCGUCGGAGCCUUUUUGGGGUGACGGCGUGCCUAUUGAAAAAUGAGCCUGCGAGUUAGUGGUAUGUGGCGAGGUUAACCUGUGUGGGGUAGUCGUAGCGAAAGCGAGUCCGAUAAGGGCGUCAGUCGCAUGCUCUAGACCCGAAGCGGUGUGAUCUAUCCAUGGCCAGGAUGAAGCGUCGGUAAGACGUCGUGGAGGUCCGAACCCACUUCAGUUGAAAAUGGAGGGGAUGAGCUGUGGAUAGGGGUGAAAGGCCAAUCAAACACCGUGAUAGCUGGUUCUCCCCGAAAUGCAUUUAGGUGCAGCGUUGUGUGGUUCGUGUCGGAGGUAGAGCACUGGAUGGUCUAGGGGGCCUAUCAGCUUACCGAAACCAGCCAAACUCCGAAUGCCGGCACGUGGAGCGCAGCAGUGAGACGGCGGGGGAUAAGCUUCGUCGUCGAGAGGGAAACAGCCCAGAUCAUCAGCUAAGGCCCCUAAGUGAUAGCUAAGUGGAAAAGGAUGUGGAGUUGCGUAGACAACCAGGAGGUUGGCUUGGAAGCAGCCAUCCUUGAAAGAGUGCGUAAUAGCUCACUGGUCAAGUGAUUCCGCGCCG